RNAcentral lists this ribosomal RNA (588 nucleotides) under uncultured bacterium. RNAcentral's name for it is "bacterial SSU rRNA". It matches the Rfam family "Bacterial small subunit ribosomal RNA", at positions 102 to 677 of the family's 1533-position model. The record is from RNAcentral.
ACGGGUGAGUAACACGUAGGUAACCUGCCUUUAAGACUGGGAUAACUAUCGGAAACGAUAGCUAAGACCGGAUAACUGGUUUUCUCGCAUGAGAGAAUCAUAAAACACGGAGCAAUCUGUGGCUUGAAGAUGGGCCUGCGGCGCAUUAGCUAGUUGGUGAGGUAACGGCUCACCAAGGCGACGAUGCGUAGCCGACCUGAGAGGGUGAACGGCCACACUGGGACUGAGACACGGCCCAGACUCCUACGGGAGGCAGCAGUAGGGAAUCUUCCGCAAUGGACGCAAGUCCGACGGAGCAACGCCGCGUGAGUGAUGAAGGUUUUCGGAUCGUAAAGCUCUGUUGCCCUAGACGAACAGCAAGGAGAGUAACUGCUCUUUGUGUGACGGUAUAGGAGAAGAAAGCCCCGGCUAACUACGUGCCAGCAGCCGCGGUAAUACGUAGGGGGCAAGCGUUGUCCGGAAUUAUUGGGCGUAAAGCGCGCGCAGGCGGUCAUUUAAGUCUGGUGUUUAAUCCUGGGGCUCAACCCCAGUUCGCAUCGGAAACUGGAUGACUUGAGUGUAGGAGAGGAAAGUGGAAUUCCACGUGUA